RNAcentral lists this ribosomal RNA (253 nucleotides) under uncultured prokaryote. Its description in RNAcentral is "partial 16S ribosomal RNA". It matches the Rfam family "Bacterial small subunit ribosomal RNA", at positions 524 to 776 of the family's 1533-position model. The record is from RNAcentral.
UACGUAGGGGGCGAGCGUUGCUCGGAAUUACUGGGCGUAAAGGGUGUGUAGGUGGCUGAUCAAGUCAAAGAUGAAAUCCCGAGGCUCAACUUCGGAAUUGCCUUUGAAACUGGUCGGCUUGAGGCUAGUUGAGGAGAGCGGAAUUCCCGGUGGAGCGGUGAAAUGCGUAGAUAUCGGGAGGAACACCUGAGGCGUAGGCGGUUCUCUAAGCUAGUCCUGACACUGAGACACGAAAGCUAGGGGAGCAAACGGG